Long non-coding RNA from Symsagittifera roscoffensis, 1057 nucleotides. RefSeq lists it as uncharacterized. The transcript is spliced from 3 exons. NCBI's taxonomy places the organism in Eukaryota, Metazoa, Xenacoelomorpha, Acoela, Convolutidae. The record is from RefSeq and is a predicted model, not a curated record.
AUAGAAUUUUCAUAUUUUUGUUUGUGGUUUUGGUGAAAUGAAUUUCAUGUCUUCUUUGGUUGACUUGUUUUCCAAAACUGUAAGUUAUUGUUAUCGAUGUUGUCGUUUAUUAUUGUUUACAGCUGGGCUCGUUUGUUCACGCUUUUCAUUACGUUUCCAGUUGGCUUUGAUGAAACUGAAAUGUCCUUUUCGUUUGCUGAUUAUCAAAAACAGAAUUCCCACUCAGUUCUAAACAAUCAUCAGUGUUAUUGUAAUCAUAAGACACCAGUACAGGCCAGCGAUUUUGACCAGAAUUCCGACCGGUUCUCUGGCGGUCAUAACUGUCAAAAUGUAUCUCGCGCUACAACACCUGUACCUGUAGAUGUGAGAAUUCCUGCUGCAAACCAGAACCAAAAUAGUAUUGACAGUCAGAAUCAAGUUGAACAAAACCGUCCUCCGAAAUUAUACAGGCAAAACACUUACCAGUCGAUAUCCAUUGGCUACUCACAUAGUUUAAAACACGAGUAUCUGCCUUAUUUAAACAUACACGGAAACAUUACCAGGACUUUCCCGUUAGAAAGGUCUCUAACUUCAACUUGGAACAUAUCAUCUACAAUUCACAAAGAAAGAAAGAAUACUGCUUGUAGAAAUCCAAACUCGAAGAAUUCUAAAAAGAAGUUCGAAGAGCAGAAAAGUGGACAUUUGACGAAAGCAUUGCUUAAGAAGUCUUACAGUUCACCGCCGGCCGAAAGAACGGCUGUAGUGGAAACGAGAACUCAAGAACCUACAGCGAGUGAAAAUAAGAACCGCUCGAAUACGUCGGAAAAUUCGCAACCAAUGGCCAGCAGCCAUUAUUCAGGCUACAAUUAUGCGCCCUUCAAUACAGCUUCUGCGACUCACUACCCCGUGGCGCCCAUCCACAAACGGGGUCUAGGAGGAGCCAUACCUAUGGUCCACCCAGCACACCAUAGUAGAUACAGGGAAGAGGACAUGAAAUCAACCAGAUUGUGUAUACUCCUCCAUACAAUAUAUGUAUAGCUCGAGUUAUUUGUUACAGAAAAAAUAGCCCGAAAGAAAU